Molecule: long non-coding RNA, 1844 nt
Organism: Macaca fascicularis (crab-eating macaque)
Lineage: Eukaryota; Metazoa; Chordata; Mammalia; Primates; Cercopithecidae
Source: Ensembl
GGUCGGGAGGAAGACAGAGACAGACAAACCAACAGAGAUGGAAAGACCAAUGGGUGCCACGGAGAGAGGGAGGGAAACCCCAGUGUCCGCCACUUCCCACUCAGAUGAGUUCACAGGACAAAGAAUGGCGUGGACCGGUCCACACGCUACAGGAAAAGGGAGGAGUAUCUGCCCUAUUCACUCUAAGGAAGGUGGGGUGCAGGCCACAGCCUAGACCAGCCCAUUCCAUGUGAUGGGGGUGUGUGCAUACAGAUCAGUCCAUCCUACUGGACAAGGGUAUUUCAGGCCAGUCUAUUCUAGUGUUUGGGGGUGGGGAAGAUCAUUAAGGUCGAUCCAUUCCACAUUCAGGGAGGGGGGAUUAGAGGGCAGGGGGCAUCUACCCUGGUCCCUCUUUCAGUACAGGGAAUGAAAACGGGGAAAGGCAGAUUUCGGCUAUAUCCAUUUUCUGGGGUCAUCAGUGACUCUGGUGGGUAGCAUUUGGAGGAGAUCUAGGAAAAUUCAGGGACAUGUUCCCUCCACAUUCUCCAGAUCAAGGUCGUUGGGAAUGAUGGCUCUCAGGGAAUGGGGCAGUCUUCCCUUGGUGGGGCGGGUGCCCAUCUUUUGUUAUUAGGGCCCUCAAGAUGAGAGGUACUUGUGGAGACCCAUUGCUCACUGCAAAGUUCCCAUGUCCUGGGGACUUAGGGCUACCCACACUCAUUUCAGGGACCUCAGGCUCAGGAGUCUCUCCGUAGAUUUGGGUUCCCCUGCCCCAGCUAAGGACCCUGUUUGUUUGUGGUCCCCCAGCUCUGGGGCCUGUGUGGGUUUCUGGUGGCCUCGACUUCUCCAGUCAGGGUCCCCUCAUUUCAGGGCCUGUGUCUGGAUUUGGAUUUGGAGGGCCGGGGCCUCACUCGCAGUACUGAGGUCCCCUGGUCCAGGCCGAGUCCAGGUGGCUGGGUGGAGGGCAGGGCACGGCCUGGCAGUCAGUCCAUGCCCCGGUGCAGCUUCAGGUGCCUGGAGAGGUUGCUGAGCGUGAUGAAGCCCUUGCCGCAGAUGUGGCAGGGGAAGGGCCGCUCGGUGCCAUGCAGCAGCCGGUGGCGCUUGAGGUAGCACUCGUGGCGGAAGAACUUGCCGCACUCCAGGCACGGGAACGGCUUCUCGCCAGUGUGCACCAGCACGUGCCGCUCCAGGUCUCGCGGCGAGCGGAACAGCUUCUCGCACUCGGAGCAGCCGAAGAUCUUCUUGCCAGCGGCCAGAGCCAGACGGGGCUCCCCGGACGCCGGCUCCCCUUCCCCGGCCGCCGCCUCUCCGCCACCUCGCCCGUGGCUGACCCGCCGAUGCUCCUCUCCGGCGGCCAGCACAGAGCCCGCAGUGGCCGCAGCCGUGGGUGGCCGGGCCCGAAUGGGCCUCCAGGUGGCUGGCCAGGGCGGCCGACGCGAAGAAGGUCCCGCAGUCGCACUGGUACAGGGUGUCUUCCGAGGGCUCGGCGGCCGCUGCAGGUGCAGGCGCCUCCCCACCGCCCUCAGGGAGCAGCCCCGAGCUUGGGCACGCCCCGCGGGGCCCAGGAGCAGCCUGCCGUCCGAGGUCGGAGGAGCGUCGCCUCCGCCCAGCGCGCUUUGCUCGCCGUCUCGGGCCCUGCACCUGCCCCCGGCCCAGCCCUGCGCUGGGCGGCCUGCCCUGCAAGUCGGCGUCAGCUUGUGCCGCUCCAGCAGCGCGAGAAGUCGCCGCGCUGGCACUUGAAGGGCUUCACGUCGGUGUGCGCCGCCCAGUGGGCCGCCAGCUCCGGCCGUGGUCGGCGCUGGCGCCGCGCAAAUGGGGGCAAGGAGGCCGCGGCUGCAGCUGCCGCCUCUGCCAGCCCCCAGCUGCCC